CUACCAUCUUGUUCUGGGUCCUCAUCCGUUCCUCGUUUACGAGACGGUGCCAUUAUAGAGGAGGCUCAGUAGUGCGUUUGGUCGUUGCUAUCGUCCUGCUUCCUUAUAGGCGGUGUUUGGUGUAGUUAUCCAGUCACUAACUACAUUAGGUAUCUGUGAUGUGUCUGGAAUGUUCCCCCCACUUUGGGUGGGGGUGUUGUGGUGUCGCG
Non-coding RNA from Pelobates cultripes (western spadefoot toad), 209 nucleotides. The record is from the annotation of a GenBank genome assembly. Lineage: Eukaryota; Metazoa; Chordata; Amphibia; Anura; Pelobatidae.